Molecule: ribosomal RNA, 467 nt
Filed under: uncultured bacterium
Lineage: Bacteria
Description: partial 16S ribosomal RNA
Rfam family: Bacterial small subunit ribosomal RNA
Source: RNAcentral
GACGAACGCUGGCGGCGUGCUUAACACAUGCAAGUCGAACGAUGACGACCGAGCUUGCUCGGUCUGAUUAGUGGCGAACGGGUGAGUAACACGUGAGCAACCUGCCCUUCACUCUGGGAUAACCUCGGGAAAUCGGGGCUAAUACCGGAUAUGAGCUCCUGUCGCAUGGCGGGUGUUGGAAAGUUUUUCGGUGAAGGAUGGGCUCGCGGCCUAUCAGUUUGUUGGUGAGGUAGUGGCUCACCAAGGCGAUGACGGGUAGCCGGCCUGAGAGGGCGACCGGCCACACUGGGACUGCGACACGGCCCAGACUCCUACGGGCGGCAGCAGUGGGGAAUAUUGCACAAUGAGCGAACGCCUGAUGCAGCGACGCCGCGUGAGGGAUGACGGCCUUCGAGUUGUAAACCUCUUUCUGCAGGGAAGAAGCGAAAGUGACGGUACCUGCAGAAGAAGCGCCGGCUAACUACGUG